AAAUUUUUAAUUUAAUUAAAAAUAUUUCAUUUACACUGAAAUUAUAUUAUUAUUAUUUU
Molecule: transfer RNA, 59 nt
Filed under: Ibalia sp. ZJUH 20220011
Lineage: Eukaryota; Metazoa; Arthropoda; Insecta; Hymenoptera; Ibaliidae
Description: tRNA-Val
Source: RNAcentral